RNAcentral lists this ribosomal RNA (492 nucleotides) under uncultured bacterium. RNAcentral's name for it is "partial 16S ribosomal RNA". It matches the Rfam family "Bacterial small subunit ribosomal RNA", at positions 29 to 507 of the family's 1533-position model. The record is from RNAcentral.
AGUGAACGCUGGCGGUAGGCCUAGCACAUGCAAGUCGAACGGCAGCACAGUAAGAGCUUGCUCUUACGGGUGGCGAGUGGCGGACGGGUGAGGAAUACAUCGGAAUCUACUUUUUCGUGGGGGAUAACGUAGGGAAACUUACGCUAAUACCGCAUACGACCUACGGGUGAAAGCAGGGGAUCUUCGGACCUUGCGCGAUUGAAUGAGCCGAUGUCGGAUUAGCUAGUUGGCGGGGUAAAGGCCCACCAAGGCGACGAUCCGUAGCUGGUCUGAGAGGAUGAUCAGCCACACUGGAACUGAGACACGGUCCAGACUCCUACGGGAGGCAGCAGUGGGGAAUAUUGGACAAUGGGCGCAAGCCUGAUCCAGCCAUACCGCGUGGGUGAAGAAGGCCUUCGGGUUGUAAAGCCCUUUUGUUGGGAAAGAAAAGCAGCAGGUUAAUACCCCGCUGUUCUGACGGUACCCAAAGAAUAAGCACCGGCUAACUCCGUG